GGGGACCUUCGGGGCCCUAUAAUCCGGGUCUGUAUCAACAGACCCCCAAGCUAACGGAAGACAGAGA
RNAcentral lists this non-coding RNA (67 nucleotides) under Pseudorhodobacter wandonensis. RNAcentral's name for it is "L2-Alphaproteobacteria ribosomal protein leader". It matches the Rfam family "L2-Alphaproteobacteria ribosomal protein leader". The record is from RNAcentral. Lineage: Bacteria; Pseudomonadati; Pseudomonadota; Alphaproteobacteria; Rhodobacterales; Paracoccaceae.